GCCUGUCUGGCUAAGUCGGUAGUGUACGUGACUCUUGAUCUCAGCGUCAUGAGUUCAAGCCCCAUGAUGGGCA
This 73-nucleotide transfer RNA is filed under the name Felis catus (domestic cat). It matches the Rfam family "tRNA". From Rfam's summary of the family: Transfer RNA (tRNA) molecules are approximately 80 nucleotides in length. Their secondary structure includes four short double-helical elements and three loops (D, anti-codon, and T loops). Lineage: Eukaryota; Metazoa; Chordata; Mammalia; Carnivora; Felidae. The record is from Rfam by way of RNAcentral. RNAcentral also lists the same sequence under 3 other names.